CCUACGGGGGGCAGCAGUGAGGAAUAUUGGUCAAUGGACGAGAGUCUGAACCAGCCAAGUAGCGUGAAGGAUGACUGCCCUAUGGGUUGUAAACUUCUUUUAUAUGGGAAUAAAAUGUUCCACGUGUGGGAUUUUGUAUGUACCAUAUGAAUAAGGAACGGAUAACUCCGUGCCAGCAGCCGCGGUAAUACGGAGGAUCCGAGCGUUAACCGGAUUUAUUGGGUUUAAAGGGGGCGUAGGUGGAUUGUUAAGUCAGUUGUGAAAGUUUGCGGGUCAACCGGAAAAGUGCAGUUGAUACUGGCAGUCUUGAGUGCAGAAGAGGUGGGCGGAAUGCGUGGUGUAGCGGUGAAAUGCUUAGAUAUCACGAAGAACUACGAUUGCGAAGGCAGUUCACUGGACUGCAACUGACGCUGAGGCUCGAAAGUGUGGGUAUCAAACAGGAUUAGAUACCCUAGUAGUC
Molecule: ribosomal RNA, 460 nt
Filed under: uncultured bacterium
Lineage: Bacteria
Description: partial 16S ribosomal RNA
Rfam family: Bacterial small subunit ribosomal RNA
Source: RNAcentral